RNAcentral lists this non-coding RNA (29 nucleotides) under Macaca fascicularis (crab-eating macaque). RNAcentral also lists the same sequence under 1 other name. Lineage: Eukaryota; Metazoa; Chordata; Mammalia; Primates; Cercopithecidae. The record is from RNAcentral.
ACUUCUGUUUUAGCUUUGGGAUGAUGGUC